AAAGAAAAUAACAAUGAUUUCCCUAGUAACGGCGAGUGAAGAGGAAAGAGCUCAAAGUUGGAACCUGUUUGGCUUAGCUAAACCGGAUUGUAAACUGUAGAAACGUUUUCCUGGCACGCCGGAUAAAUAAGUCCUUUGGAACAGGGCAUCAUAGAGGGUGAGAAUCCCGUCUUUGGUCUGAGCUGUUGCCUUUUGCGAUACGUUUUCAAAGAGUCAGGUUGUUUGGGAAUGCAGCCUAAAUUGGGUGGUAAAUCUCACCUAAAGCUAAAUAUUUGCGAGAGACCGAUAGCGAACAAGUACCGUGAGGGAAAGAUGAAAAGAACUUUGAAAAGAGAGUUAAACAGUAUGUGAAAUUGUUAAAAGGGAACCGUUUGGAGCCAGACUGGCUUGAUCGUAAUCAAUCUAGGUUUCGACCUGGAUGCACUUGCGGUCUAUGCCUGCCAACGACAAUUCUUUUUGGAGGAAAAAACUAGGAGGAAUGUGGCCCCUCGGGGUGUUAUAGCCUCUUAGAAAAUACUCUGGAUGGGAUUGAGGAACGCAGUGAAUGCCAUUAGGCGAGAUUGCUAGGCGCUUUUGUCUCUAGAUGCUAGAAUUUCUGCUUCGGGUGGUGCUAGUGUGUAAAGAUAAAACUCGUUUGGUUAAUUUUUUAUUCACUUAGGUUGUUGGCUUAAUGACUCUAAAUGAC
RNAcentral lists this ribosomal RNA (685 nucleotides) under Mucor kunryangriensis. Its description in RNAcentral is "partial large subunit ribosomal RNA". It matches the Rfam family "Eukaryotic large subunit ribosomal RNA", at positions 58 to 648 of the family's 3401-position model. The record is from RNAcentral. Lineage: Eukaryota; Fungi; Mucoromycota; Mucoromycetes; Mucorales; Mucoraceae.